This 391-nucleotide unclassified non-coding RNA is filed under the name fungal sp. Its description in RNAcentral is "partial internal transcribed spacer region". The stretch from base 1 to 46 matches the Rfam family "Eukaryotic small subunit ribosomal RNA", at positions 1786 to 1831 of the family's 1831-position model. The record is from RNAcentral. Lineage: Eukaryota; Fungi.
AAGUCGUAACAAGGUUUCCGUAGGUGAACCUGCGGAAGGAUCAUUAACACGUAUCCACGUAUUUAUCAACCAACACUAAGAACUGUAGCUCCCCUUCAGUAGACUUCCAUCUGCCAGUAACUGGGAUGUGGUGAGUUGUAUGCGAGUGCUUGCACUUUCAUGCGACGUACCCAGUGAUCGCUUUCACUCUUCGAGAGUGUGGAUGGUGACUUAUUGACGGGCUCAACCUUUCUCACCUACUCCUAUUGCCAUGGGAGCCAGGUGAGGAAACCCAUACCUAUUUCACCCUAUUUUACCCAUUUGACUAAUUUAUUCGACGGGAGAAAUCCUGUUGGAUCCUAAGAUUUAUCUUAACUAAGCACAACUCUUAGCAAUGGAUAUCUUGGUUCUC